GUCUACGGCCAUGCUACCCUGAACAAGCCAGAUCCCAUCUGAUCUCAGAAGCUAGGUAGAGCCGGGCCUGGUUAGUACUUGAAUGAGAGACCACCUAAGAAGACCAAGUGCUACAGGCA
Molecule: ribosomal RNA, 119 nt
Filed under: Pteropus alecto (black flying fox)
Lineage: Eukaryota; Metazoa; Chordata; Mammalia; Chiroptera; Pteropodidae
Source: RNAcentral